Pygocentrus nattereri (red-bellied piranha) is the source of this 2594-nucleotide long non-coding RNA. RefSeq lists it as uncharacterized. NCBI's taxonomy places the organism in Eukaryota, Metazoa, Chordata, Actinopteri, Characiformes, Serrasalmidae. The transcript has 3 exons. The record is from RefSeq and is a predicted model, not a curated record.
UCGGCGUAGGUUGACACCAGGCAACAGUGAGAAAGCAGAAAAAAAACAGAAAGGGCCGAACGGACUGGUUCCUAGAACAGACUGGCGCAGAGCACGGAGAGGGGGACCGCGCACUGAUACCUGGGUACUGUAGUCAAAGCAGUGCCGAGAACAAGAACAAGAGCAGGUGCAGCGGCCAAGUUUACACUGAUCCUGAAGAGCUGACUGGAUGUGGGAGGGAAAGCCUAAAUUAGCCCAGGAGCAGCGGAGAGGCUGAACAGGACCGUCUCAGCCUAUGAAGUGAGAGGACAUGUCCUCCAAGAAACACAGAGGCCUCAGAGCCAGUGCAGUGUGACUAACUGUGGGGAACACAUAAUCAGUCCUGCUGAUUGAUGACGCCUGUGCUGACGGCGUAUGUAUGUACCACAAGCGCAACCUCUGCCGGUGCGAACAUUUGAGGCACCAAUUCCCAAGAAUACCUAACCUGUGCCAGCUGUUGGAGACAAGCUACCUGUGCCAACGGCGGCAGGCGCUGCCCACUGCAUCAUCUGUUCCAGCGUUUCCAUCUGUGGCAUUUGUACCAGUCCUCCUCUCUCUGCAUCUGGACGCUCCAAAGAAAGCUUUCCAAUAGCGCCGGCUGCCAACUGGGCCAGAUGUUCGAGCUGUAAGCCCCGGGCUAAAUCAAUGUAGCUCUUCACUCAUUAUUCCGGCCCUGAUGAAUUGCAAGUGCCCGUUUUUUUUUUUUACUCUCCUCCAGCUCCCUCCUCGACAAACCAUCCAUCAGUGAGAGACUUGAGGAGCUGCGGUGCUGGGGAUGUCUAAGGAGGGCCUUGCAGAUGUGUCUUUUAAGGCUUUUUGGCAGAUGACAGGGGAGCCUCUUGAAAGCUGUGUUUCUUGCUACACUUAUUGCUGUGAAUUCCAACAAAAGACAAGGCAGCGAGGAGGCCUAUUUAUGCUUAUGAACAAAACUUUUAUUAUAAGUGGAAUGUCUUGCCUGAAAAUCCCUUCAGUGAGUGUAUACUCAAUGUACAUGAGGCUGGUUUGGCUGAAAAAAUGCAGUGACAUAAUUAAACCUGCCACAUAACAUUUGACAAAACUGUUUCAUAAACAUGUCUUGGCUGAUGUGAUCUUAUAUUACUUAACAAAAUCUGUCAUGACAGCAAAUGACAUCUGUCAUGACAUUUUUGGCAUGCUUAUAUUAUAUAUAACAGUAUGUAAUUCUAAUACAGUGUUUAUAUAAUGCAGGUGUAUGUAUGUAUGUAUGUAUAUAUAUAUAUAUAUAUAUAUAUAUAUAAAGCAUCAGUGCUCAAGCAGUUUGAAUCCAAUUAAGAGACUGUAUGUCAGAUAUUCUUGCCACUUUGGACAGAUUCACAUUUUCUGGCCACUAACCUGAGGCACAGUGCUGUAGUACAUUAGCUGGGAAAACAUAGUCAGAAUAACAGAGGGCCACGAUUUAAGGUUGUUUUGCUAUGCUUUCCCCCAGGGAUGUAUUUACUGUGGCCUGACAACACUGGCCUUGUUGAUCCAGAUGGUGAUAGAAUCGGGCAGUCUGCACAUCCUCUCACAACCUGCUCCCACACAGCAGUGAAUAUCCACUGCCCAGCCCAACUCAUAUCUACUGUCCAGUCAAACCCAUGUCAUCUUUCUAACAUAGCCAGUGUUUCCAUUCUAUGCAUCCAGUAUCCACUUCCCAAAUACAAUCAAUGGCUAAAGUGCCUAUGCAGGGAACAGUUGUGACAGAUACACAGCAUCUAACUGAAAUGAAUCACUGAACUCGGCCCGCAUUUAAAUAAAUAAAAAUAUUAGGCUUAAUGAUGCAGCACAAUCCAGUUGCCAGAACUGAAUCUGUUCUUUUUAACAUCUCAUGAAUUAAGACGCCUGUAUGCCUCUACAGUCUCUUUGGCCUGAAUACAGUCAGUGCCAUGGCAACCUGUACAACUAAGAGGAAUCAUUCCUUAUGUACAGCCUACAGACUGCAUCUUAAGGUAUUGGCAUUUUCUCCUCAAUAUCAUGGAAACGAUGCUCUUGGUCAAAUUACAUGCUUUGUUGAUUUUGUAAAUUAAAAUAAGUACACAUUCUGUAUAUAUUUAUUUGCUGAAAUUAACACAUUCGCAAAAAAUGAAACAUAAAAUGUGGCUUGUGCAAAAGUUACUGUGAAAAAGAAGUGAAGAAUUGUUCACUUCUUUUGAAUUAGAAAAUCAACAAAACAUGUCAUUUGGCCAGUAUUUCUACAUUUGACCUUUCAGUUCGAUGCUUCUCAGUUAGAUUUUUCUUCCUUUACCACUUAUUUAAAUUAUUUAACCUCUUAUAAUCUAAGAAACUGUGUAUCCACACUUUCAUUCCUCUCUAUUAUACCUCUAUAUGGCUGUUGUCAGAAGAAAAUCUCAUAUCUCAUAUAUUUCUUUACACAUAUCAUAAGAAAUAAGAUAUUUCUAACACCUCCUAUCCAUAACAUCAAACACUCAAUAUAUGUGAUGCAAAUAGCAUAAAAGUUCUACACUGUGUUAGUAUGUGUUUGAACCAGCUGGGGAGAGAGGCUUACCUGUGAUCCACUUUGCUUUUUGCAUAUUUUUCGAUAUGUUUUAAUUAAUCAAAUAAACAGUAAUUUUGCAUUA